RNAcentral lists this ribosomal RNA (663 nucleotides) under Scolecithricella dentata. RNAcentral's name for it is "SSU rRNA". It matches the Rfam family "Eukaryotic small subunit ribosomal RNA", at positions 41 to 704 of the family's 1831-position model. Lineage: Eukaryota; Metazoa; Arthropoda; Copepoda; Calanoida; Scolecitrichidae. The record is from RNAcentral.
AGAUUAAGCCAUGCAUGUCUAAGUACAAGCCUCAUUAAGGUGAAACCGCGAAUGGCUCAUUAAAUCACACCUAAUCUACUGGAUAGUCAACUUACUUGGAUAACUGAGGUAAUUCUUGAGCUAAUACAUGCACAAAGCCCCAAACGUAAGUGAGGGGCGCUUUUAUUAGAUCAAAACCAAACGGCUUCGGCUGUUCACUUGGUGACUCUGAAUAACUUUCGGCAGAUCGCAUAGCCUAGAGCUGGCGACAUAUCCUUCGAAGGUGUGCCCUAUCAACUGUCGACUGUGGCAUAGACGCCCACAGUGGUUUUGACGGGUAACGGGGAAUCAGGGUUCGAUUCCGGAGAGGGAGCCUUAAAAACGGCUACCACAUCUAAGGAAGGCAGCAGGCACGCAAAUUACCCAAUGACCGAAGGUCGAGGUAGUGACGAAAAAUAACGAUACCGGACUCAUCUGAGGCCCGGUAAUCGGAAUGAGUACACUUUAAAACCGUCCCCGAGGAUCUAUUGGAGGGCAAGUCUGGUGCCAGCAGCCGCGGUAAUUCCAGCUCCAAUAGCGUAUAUUAAAGUUGUUGUGGUUAAAAAGCUCGUAGUUGGAUCUCGGCGGUCUGAGGCCGGUUCACUUGCUAGUGCUACUGGCCUAUAGACCGUAGUUUUGCCAGGG